This 187-nucleotide non-coding RNA is filed under the name Bacillota bacterium. RNAcentral describes it as "Firmicutes bacterium (anaerobic digester metagenome) 6S RNA". It matches the Rfam family "6S / SsrS RNA". From Rfam's summary of the family: E. coli 6S RNA was the first non coding RNA to be sequenced, but its function was unknown until recently. It consists of 184 nucleotides that fold into an extended hairpin structure with a large single-stranded internal bulge. Lineage: Bacteria; Bacillati; Bacillota. The record is from RNAcentral.
AAAACCCUGCUGUGUUCGGGAUGAAGCUGGCUUUGUUAUGAGCCAACACCAUAACAAAGGGAAUUCGGUCUCUAGUAGUGGAUGGCAGGCCCAGUAAAUGAAAUGGGAAGUCAGAAGCUAUUAGGAGAAUACCCACCUGCCGAGAGCAGGUUCAUGCUAGUCAGCCAAACGACAUGGUGGGGAACUU